This 395-nucleotide RNase P RNA is filed under the name Alphaproteobacteria bacterium. RNAcentral describes it as "RNase P RNA component class A". It matches the Rfam family "Bacterial RNase P class A". From Rfam's summary of the family: Ribonuclease P (RNase P) is a ubiquitous endoribonuclease, found in archaea, bacteria and eukarya as well as chloroplasts and mitochondria. Its best characterised activity is the generation of mature 5'-ends of tRNAs by cleaving the 5'-leader elements of precursor-tRNAs. Cellular RNase Ps are ribonucleoproteins. The record is from RNAcentral. Lineage: Bacteria; Pseudomonadati; Pseudomonadota; Alphaproteobacteria.
CCAGAUGGCCGGAUGGCCGCUCCCCGGAUCGCGCAAGCCCCGGGGGGAGGAAAGUCCGGGCUCCACGGAAACACGGUGCCGGGUAACGCCCGGCGGGGGCGACCCUAGGGAAAGUGCCACAGAAAGCAAACCGCCCGGCCCCGUCUUUGGGCAGGCCGGGUAAGGGUGAAAGGGUGCGGUAAGAGCGCACCGCGCCGCCGGUAACGGCGGUGGCAGGGCAAACCCCACCGGGAGCAAGAUCAAAUAGGGACCCAUGCCGAAAGGCGGGCGGGUUUCCGCGCCGGGUCCGGGUAGGUCGCGCGAGGCGCCCGGUGACGGGCGUCCCAGAUGAAUGGCCAUCGACCGAAGGCUUCGGCCUUGGGAAACAGAACCCGGCUUACAGGCCAUCUGGCACG